UUGUCCUGGUUUGUGUUUUCCCUGCUCCUUGUGUGCAGUUGUUACAGGACAGGACACACAGCAAUCUACCUCUCUGUUUAGAAGGGCCAUCCUAAGAAUAGGGCUGGCUUUUAAAAGGCAUGAUUGGUCAAC
Perognathus longimembris pacificus (Pacific pocket mouse) is the source of this 132-nucleotide non-coding RNA. RefSeq annotates it as small Cajal body-specific RNA 11. The record is from RefSeq and is a predicted model, not a curated record. The transcript has a single exon. NCBI's taxonomy places the organism in Eukaryota, Metazoa, Chordata, Mammalia, Rodentia, Heteromyidae.